This 612-nucleotide long non-coding RNA is filed under the name Marmota monax (woodchuck). The record is from RNAcentral. Lineage: Eukaryota; Metazoa; Chordata; Mammalia; Rodentia; Sciuridae.
ACAAAUCGAACAAUUUUGAUGUUUUCCUAAUUAAAGUUCCCUUCAGAGACUCAUACCCUUUAUCUUUCUUUGCUGCUUCAGGGGAUCUUCUUUUCCUGAAGUUCAGAGUCCUAAUUCCAUUGUUUGGUUUGGUUCUUCCCUCAGAAAACAUGUUGUUUUUGCCAGUGACCACAAGAGGACACAAUUUCCCAGAGAACUUAAUUUAAAAAGCUCAUAGAAGAAAGCUAACAAAAUAGCAGAAAUACCACACAAUUAAUGAGUAUCACUUUGGAAAUGUUUGGUUGAUUUAUAUGAAUUUUAUUGAAUUUUAAAAACAAACAUGCUUUAUUAUUGAAGCUUUAGAUGUUUCUAAGAUACCAUUUUUUCCUUAUUUAGGCCCCAAAUAAAAGUAUACAUUUCUGAAAAUAUACAAAAAUGCUACUGUUGUAAUUCAAAUAAAAAUGUUUAUAAUACACUAGUACAAUUUUGUACAAAAUUCUUGAUGACAUAGAAUUUUAGUUAGUUAAUUUUAAAGUCAUGCUUGGAGAUGAAAAAUAAUGAAUAUUUCAAAAUGCAAUAGAAAGUUUGAAUUUUCAAUUUGGUUGUCUGGGGUGUUUUUAUAUAGAAAAUUCC